GCCCAACGCUGGCCCAGGGUUCCUAGUCAGAAUGCACUUGGUUUUUUCAUUCUGAAAGAAAAAAAAUAAUAAUUGAGUCUGGCCCAAUGACUCAAGCCCACGACUUCUACUCAGCAGAAUCAAUAGGGGUCUUACACUUUCACCCCCAUUCUCCAUUCAAAUGCCAUAUGCGAGAUCCAGGGUCUCUGCAAACCCUAAGGCAUUCAUCAUCGCCACUCACUGCUAUCUCCGCCAAACCGGCCGCCGCAAGUCGCCGCCCAAGCCAUCGCCGGCUCCACCGCUCACCAUCGGGCCCCUCGCCGGCCGCCUCUCUAGCUAUUCCUUUCUUUCCUAUUCGCGUGCGAGGGAGGGAACCCCUUCUUCGAGAACGACGCCGGCCACCGCAGGUCGCAGGUCAGGGCGCCACCAGAACCACCGUUCGCUGUCGAAACCGUCGCCCGCCGCCGCACCAACUCACGGCCACAGUGAGUCACCAGCAAUGAGAACCCUUUUCUCCUCUUCGAUUCGGCGCGAGAAGCUCUCUCCCUCCCUCGUCGAACACCGCCGGCGAAAUCGACCACCGCCAGCCACCUGAAGAGUCACCCUCCUCUCAAAUACGAUCCCCUUCUUCACCCCUCUCUUCUUUUGUUCUUUAUAUUGCUUGGGUUGAUUUCGCUUUGUAGUGCCUUUCUUUAUUAAGGAUUCAAUUCCUCUGAUUGGGAAUGAACAGAGCCGUAACCAAUUUGGGGGGUUUGGGUUUGUUUUUGCAGAGAGAAACAACGUGUAUCAAAAAUCAAGAUUGAUGGGGGUGUGUUUGGGAUAUCGAUUUUCAGGUUUGGGUUACACAUUGUGUAUGCAUUUCUUGCUCAAGGAUUCAACUAUUUCGUUGGCGGUUGGAGAUGAACAGAGGUGUGGAGGCUUAGUUUCGUUAUUUGGCUUGAAUGUUCUGAUUGAUACAGGUGAAGAAUGCUCUCGAGAUGGAAGGCAGCUGCGACAGACAUUGUUAUUCAGAUUGAGGGAGUCCUAUGGUCUGCUAGAAAUACUAUUUCUGUUUUCUAUUUCGUACGAGGAUGGAUAUGAAAGGAUACAUCAGAUUCUGCCUAUGUUUUCUUCUUAUUAGAGUUUUCUGGAAUGUUUUCUGGGUGUAAGUAAAGAGGGUGUUUGGAGUCGGGAUACACGCCUAUGUUCCAUUUUCAGUUAAAUAUGAUGAAUUUUGCAGGCAUUGAAACUGCAUUUUGGAUGCAGUUUUCUGAUUGACAGAGAAUAUCACAUAGUAAAUGAACACAACCACAUACACGCAUAUUUCAUUCAUAUCCAAUUCCAAACAUGUAACAGAGACAUGUAAACAUAUAACAGGCAUUCACAUACGACCAAGAGCUUAGAGACGACAACUUACCUCCGCCGCUGCAUGGUUCUCCUCUCCUCUGGCCGUGAGGUCUUUUCUUCCCAGGUGGUGAUGAUCGGUGAUGGCGAUGGUAGUAAAUCUCCAAUGUUUUGUGAGGGCAGCGUGGUCAAAACCAGAUCCCCUCACUGUCCCAGCUCUGCUUUCUGUAGGAUUUCAUGUUUGUCUUUUUCCUUUUCUCUUGUAUUCAUUGUAUCAGUUAAAAAAAACUUUAAAAUCUUUCCCCUUCGAUGAAUGUAUGCGACUCUGCACGGGGAUUUUAGCAAGAGGAGCCUCGACUUGCCACACUGCCAAUGCAUAUAUAUAUUUUGAGCAUUGCUUUUAUAUACAUUUUGAGCAAUAUACAUUUUGAGCACUGCCAAUGCAUAUA
This is a long non-coding RNA of Vigna radiata var. radiata (mung bean), 1751 nucleotides long. RefSeq lists it as uncharacterized. The transcript is spliced from 2 exons. NCBI's taxonomy places the organism in Eukaryota, Viridiplantae, Streptophyta, Magnoliopsida, Fabales, Fabaceae. The record is from RefSeq and is a predicted model, not a curated record.